CUGACAGCCCUGGAGAGUGAUAGUCUCUCCAUCAUCCCAGAACACAUACAGACAGCAUGGGCACCAGUGCCAGCUUCCCCCAUUGCCCUGCUAAUGUGCUUCAACCUUGCCCUUGAAAGAUCAGACUCUAGAGGGGAGAAAGCUCAGUCGCCUUAGCUUCCCUAUUAUACUGCC
This 174-nucleotide small RNA is filed under the name Chelonoidis abingdonii (Abingdon island giant tortoise). RNAcentral's name for it is "TUC338 (ENSCABG00000017262.1)". The record is from RNAcentral. Lineage: Eukaryota; Metazoa; Chordata; Testudines; Testudinidae.